UACGAAGGGGGCUAGCGUUGUUCGGAAUCACUGGGCGUAAAGGGCGCGUAGGCGGCUUUAUAAGUCGGGGGUGAAAGCCUGUGGCUCAACCACAGAAUUGCCUUCGAUACUGUAGAGCUUGAGACCGGAAGAGGUAAGUGGAACUGCGAGUGUAGAGGUGAAAUUCGUAGAUAUUCGCAAGAACACCAGUGGCGAAGGCGGCUCACUGGCCCGAUACUGACGCUGAGGUGCGAAAGCGUGGGGAGCAAACAGG
This 253-nucleotide ribosomal RNA is filed under the name uncultured bacterium. RNAcentral's name for it is "partial 16S ribosomal RNA". It matches the Rfam family "Bacterial small subunit ribosomal RNA", at positions 524 to 776 of the family's 1533-position model. The record is from RNAcentral.